ACACCGUUGGUGAAGUGGUUAUCAUGCUUGCCUUCCAUAAUCUCGCAUACGUAACCUUGAGCAAGUGGCUCGGGUUCGAUUCCCGAACGGUGUA
Molecule: non-coding RNA, 94 nt
Organism: Marasmius sp. AFHP31
Lineage: Eukaryota; Fungi; Basidiomycota; Agaricomycetes; Agaricales; Marasmiaceae
Source: the annotation of a GenBank genome assembly